GACGAACCGUGCGAACGUUGUUCGGAAUCACUGGGCAUAAAGGGCGCGUAGGCGGCUUAUCAAGUCAGGGGUGAAAUCCGGCAGCUUAACUGUCGAAGUGCCUUUGAUACUGAUGAGCUCGAGGGAGAUAGGGGUGUGUGGAACUUCCGGUGGAGCGGUGAAAUGCGUUGAUAUCGGAAGGAACGCCGGUGGCGAAAGCGACACACUGGAUCUCUUCUGACGCUGAGGCGCGAAAGCCAGGGGAGCAAACGGG
RNAcentral lists this ribosomal RNA (253 nucleotides) under uncultured bacterium. RNAcentral's name for it is "partial 16S ribosomal RNA". It matches the Rfam family "Bacterial small subunit ribosomal RNA", at positions 524 to 776 of the family's 1533-position model. The record is from RNAcentral.